GACGAACGCUGGCGGCGUGCUUAACACAUGCAAGUCGAGCGGAAAGGCCCUUUGGGGUACUCGAGCGGCGAACGGGUGAGUAACACGUGAGUAACCUGCCCCCUUCUCUGGGAUAAGCCUGGGAAACUGGGUCUAAUACCGGAUACGACCAUGACCUGCAUGGGUUGUGGUGGAAAGUUUUUCGGUGGGGGAUGGGCUCGCGGCCUAUCAGCUUGUUGGUGGGGUAGUGGCCUACCAAGGCGACGACGGGUAGCCGGCCUGAGAGGGCGACCGGCCACACUGGGACUGAGACACGGCCCAGACUCCUACGGGAGGCAGCAGUGGGGAAUAUUGCACAAUGGGCGGAAGCCUGAUGCAGCGACGCCGCGUGGGGGAUGACGGCCUUCGGGUUGUAAACCUCUUUCACCAUCGACGAAGCCUGCCCUUUUGGGGU
RNAcentral lists this ribosomal RNA (433 nucleotides) under Streptosporangiaceae bacterium Ellin7060. RNAcentral describes it as "bacterial SSU rRNA". It matches the Rfam family "Bacterial small subunit ribosomal RNA", at positions 28 to 466 of the family's 1533-position model. The record is from RNAcentral. Lineage: Bacteria; Bacillati; Actinomycetota; Actinomycetes; Streptosporangiales; Streptosporangiaceae.